GUGCCAGCCGCCGCGGUAAUACGGAGGGUCCAAGCGUUAUCCGGAAUCAUUGGGUUUAAAGGGUCCGCAGGCGGACUAGUAAGUCCGUGGUGAAAUCUCUCAGCUUAACUGGGAAACUUUCAUUGAUACUGUUAGUCUUGAAUUCGGUCGAAGUGGGCGGAAUGUGUCAUGUAGCGGUGAAAUGCAUAGAUAUGACACAGAACACCGAUAGCGAAGGCAGCUCACUAGGCCUGAAUUGACGCUCAGGGACGAAAGCGGGGGGUGCGAACAGGAUUAGAAACCCGAUGUGUCC
RNAcentral lists this ribosomal RNA (292 nucleotides) under uncultured bacterium. Its description in RNAcentral is "partial 16S ribosomal RNA". It matches the Rfam family "Bacterial small subunit ribosomal RNA", at positions 505 to 796 of the family's 1533-position model. The record is from RNAcentral.